Long non-coding RNA from Oreochromis aureus, 542 nucleotides. Lineage: Eukaryota; Metazoa; Chordata; Actinopteri; Cichliformes; Cichlidae. The record is from Ensembl.
CAGCACUCCUGUUGUUGGACAGAAAGACAUCAACUCAGUGACUUGAGAUGUGACUGCACGAUGCUGUUGCUUCGACUCCAGUUAAUUCUACAAGACAUGCUGUGACACCAGGAGAGAUGAGUCCUCCGUCACAGAUGGUGUGGUCAGUGAAGGUGGUCACCUGCAGGUUCAAGCUCAUUGCAUCUCCAACCCACAUCCACUGCAACUGUACUUAAGGGAAGUUAAAGACUUUCUUCUGCACUUACAUUUGGAUCAUCUCGAUCCAUGACAGUCAUUCAGGCAGUAAUGACUGGACUGGAAACAAGCCAUCCUUAAAAUAUUACAACAUUCCAGCUCCUGUGUUGGAAUGAAAAACGAAUGUGUUGUUUAAAUUAGAGACUGCACUUGUGACAGAACAAUAAAUAUUUUAUGUUGAUUAUAUAAGUAAUGUAAGUACAAAACAAACUUGUGGUAGGCCUAAACUUAUUUUCAGAAUAAUUACAUCUAAGACUUUGUUUCGUUGUAAGAUUAUAACAGUGAUGGCAAUAUCAUUUUUAUUCAGC